RNAcentral lists this ribosomal RNA (386 nucleotides) under uncultured bacterium. Its description in RNAcentral is "bacterial SSU rRNA". It matches the Rfam family "Bacterial small subunit ribosomal RNA", at positions 42 to 455 of the family's 1533-position model. The record is from RNAcentral.
UCAGGCAUAACACACGCAAGUAGAUCGGGCGUAGCAAUAGGUCAGUGGCAGACGGGUGAGUAACACGUGGGAACGUACCCUUUGGUUCGGAAUAACUUGGGGAAACUCAAGCUAAUACCGGAUAAGCCCUUAUGGGGAAAGGUUUACUGCCGAAGGAUCGGCCCGCGUCUGAUUAGCUAGUUGGUGAGGUAAUGGCUCACCAAGGCGACGAUCAGUAGCUGGUCUGAGAGGAUGAUCAGCCACACUGGGACUGAGACACGGCCCAGACUCCUACGGGAGGCAGCAGUGGGGAAUAUUGGACAAUGGGGGCAACCCUGAUCCAGCCAUGCCGCGUGAGUGAUGAAGGCCUUAGGGUUGUAAAGCUCUUUACCCGGGACGAUAAUGAC